RNAcentral lists this long non-coding RNA (475 nucleotides) under Setaria viridis. Its description in RNAcentral is "long non-coding RNA (SVIR_LNC004894)". The record is from RNAcentral. Lineage: Eukaryota; Viridiplantae; Streptophyta; Magnoliopsida; Poales; Poaceae.
GGGAAUAGUCUGGUAGUCCACCACGGGGUAGACCAAGGUGGUAGAUUGUGUGGAGGGGAUUACCGUACCUAGAGCUAGAUGGAUGAACACAAGGACACAGGGGACUUUACCAGGUUCGGCCACUAGAUUGGUGUAAUACCCUACGUCCUGUGCUCGGGGUUUGUAUUCUCAACGUACAACAUAUCGAAUAUGGCUUGGGUUUUUUAGGGGGUCCCUGCCGCCCUUAUAUAGUCUAGGGGGCAGGGUUAUAGAUCCGAUUCGAUCUAGUCCUAGUCGAUUACAAGGAAAUCUACUGCCUUUCGGUACAAGUUAUCUCUUUACAUAUUUGAAUGACCCUAUCUAUAACUAUAUCUCUAGAUGCCGAUCCUUCAUCUUUAUCUGCAUGCUUGUCUCGAGUGCACCUCGUACGGGCUGUGGUACCCCCUUUGGAGGGCAACCAGGCCCAUCCGAAUGGUACCGGGGUCGUAUCCCCCAC